Molecule: ribosomal RNA, 278 nt
Filed under: uncultured bacterium
Lineage: Bacteria
Description: partial 16S ribosomal RNA
Rfam family: Bacterial small subunit ribosomal RNA
Source: RNAcentral
UACUCCCGCCGGCGACCGGCGCACGGGUGAGUAACACGUAUGAAACCUGCCCGUGGCAGGGGGAUAAGCGGAAGAAAUUCCGUCUAAUACCGCGUAACAACCCGAGGAGGCAUCUCCUCGGGUUUAAAGGAAGCGAUUCCGGCUACGGAUGGUCAUGCGUCGCAUUAGCUAGUUGGCGGGGUAACGGCCCACCAAGGCGACGAUGCGUAGGGGUUCUGAGAGGAAGGUCCCCCACACUGGUACUGAGACACGGACCAGACUCCUACGGAAGGCAGCAG